RNAcentral lists this ribosomal RNA (463 nucleotides) under uncultured bacterium. RNAcentral's name for it is "partial 16S ribosomal RNA". It matches the Rfam family "Bacterial small subunit ribosomal RNA", at positions 28 to 507 of the family's 1533-position model. The record is from RNAcentral.
GAUGAACGCUGACAGAAUGCUUAACACAUGCAAGUCGAUGGGGAAGUGGUGCUUGCACCAUGGUAACCAUGGCGGACGGGUGAGUAACGCGUAAGGAACUUACCUGCGGGACCGGGAUAACAGCAGGAAACUGCUGACAAGACCGGAUAAGGUCAUUAAGCUGCAUAGCUUAGUGAUGAAAGGAGACGCCUGCGGAGAGCCUUGCGUCCUAUUAGCUAGUUGGAGGGGUAACGGCCCACCAAGGCGAAGAUAGGUAGCCGGCCUGAGAGGGUGGACGGCCACAAGGGGACUGAGAUACGGCCCUUACUCCUACGGGAGGCGGCAGUGGGGAAUAUUGGACAAUGGGGGCAACCCUGAUCCAGCAAUUCUGUGUGCACGAAGACGGUUUUCGGAUUGUAAAGUGCUUUCAGCAGGGAAGAAGGAAGUGACGGUACCUGCAGAAGAAGCGACGGCUAAAUACGUG